UUCAACGGCCGCGGUACUUUGACCGUGCAAAGGUAGCAUAAUCACUUGUCUUCUAAAUAAAGACUAGUAUGAACGGCAAAACGAGGGUCUAACUGUCUCCUCUGUCCACUCAAUGAAAUUGAUAUCCCAGUACAAAAGCUGCAAUUAAACAACAAGACGAGAAGACCCUAUGGAGCUUAAAACACACUAGAAAGUACAGUAAUUUUUUUAUCAAUUUCAUGUACCAAUUCCACAAUGUUUUUGGUUGGGGCGACCACGGAGAAUACUAAUCCUCCGAGAUGAUAUACCAGGAAGACAAUCCAAAAUAUCAGAAAACUGACAUAAUUGACCCAAUAACUUUGACCAACGAACCAAGUUACCCUAGGGAUAACAGCGCAAUCCUCUUCAAGAGCCCAUAUCGACAA
This 404-nucleotide ribosomal RNA is filed under the name Ichthyophis multicolor. RNAcentral describes it as "partial large subunit ribosomal RNA". It matches the Rfam family "Bacterial large subunit ribosomal RNA", at positions 1923 to 2511 of the family's 2925-position model. The record is from RNAcentral. Lineage: Eukaryota; Metazoa; Chordata; Amphibia; Gymnophiona; Ichthyophiidae.